GAUGAACGCUGGCGGCGUGCCUAAUACAUGCAAGUCGAGCGAACGGACGAGAAGCUUGCUUCUCUGAUGUUAGCGGCGGACGGGUGAGUAACACGUGGAUAACCUACCUAUAAGACUGGGAUAACUUCGGGAAACCGGAGCUAAUACCGGAUAAUAUUUUGAACCGCAUGGUUCAAAAGUGAAAGACGGUCUUGCUGUCACUUAUAGAUGGAUCCGCGCUGCAUUAGCUAGUUGGUAAGGUAACGGCUUACCAAGGCAACGAUGCAUAGCCGACCUGAGAGGAGGAUGGGCCACAAUAGAGCGGAGAGCCGGUCGAGGCGACAGCGGGAAGCAGCAGCACGGAAGGUGGGGGAAUGGGCGAAGGACAGACAAAGCAAGGCGGCGGGAAUGAAGAAAGUCUUCAGAUCGUAAAACACUCUUAUCAGUAAAGAACAUAUGUGUCAGUACCUACUCCCAACUUGACGCUACCGAAACAGUAAGCCAAGGCUAACUACGUG
This 497-nucleotide ribosomal RNA is filed under the name uncultured bacterium. Its description in RNAcentral is "partial 16S ribosomal RNA". It matches the Rfam family "Bacterial small subunit ribosomal RNA", at positions 28 to 507 of the family's 1533-position model. The record is from RNAcentral.